GCGGAAGUGGCGCAAUGGCGGCGCAGGUGGUUUCCAACCAUCAGGUUGUGGGUUCGACUCCCACCUUCCGCU
This 72-nucleotide transfer RNA is filed under the name Nitrospiraceae bacterium. RNAcentral's name for it is "tRNA-Gly". It matches the Rfam family "tRNA". From Rfam's summary of the family: Transfer RNA (tRNA) molecules are approximately 80 nucleotides in length. Their secondary structure includes four short double-helical elements and three loops (D, anti-codon, and T loops). Lineage: Bacteria; Pseudomonadati; Nitrospirota; Nitrospiria; Nitrospirales; Nitrospiraceae. The record is from RNAcentral.